CCAGAGUGGCUGUUUUGUGUUGCUUUGGGGGGAGGGACUUGGCACUGCCCUGGUAGGAGGCGGCUUGCCUUGCCUUUGGUUCUUUGAUGCUCUUUCUCUGGAACCCCUGGGGAAUGCCUGAGUCAUCGCUGAGCGGCAAACACAUUUAGCUUCUUUCAUCGUCCCUAAUAAAUCAACUUCUCCAGUUCUCUCCUACCUGCCUCCAGCUCCAGGCUGCCUGGCCCCCGUCUCCUGUAGCCUGACAUCUGGGCACUGCAGAGACUUCCAGCCCCCAGGUUCCUGGCAGUGGUCCCCUGGCCGUUUCCUCUCUCUCCCCAGGCAUUCUGGGCCGGGCAAGGCCUCCUCGUGCUGGGCUGGCCUGCAUUCAACAGCUGCGGCCCUGGAGCCCUUCAGUGCUUCCUGCAGCUAGGAGCCGCCUGGCAUGGAGGCAGCUGGGAUUAGCAACAUCUGCCGCCGCAGCUCAGCCCUGACCCUGACCACCACCUCAGCGCCCUCUCGGCGGCCCACAGGGGCUUGUGCUGGGGCCCAGGGAAGUUCCCCCAAACACCUUACCUCAUUCUGUCUCUCAAAGGCCAGGUUGGCUAGAGGACCCCAGGCCUUUCCUGGGCUUGUAUUUCAUGGCACCUCUCUCAGGAAGCCUCCCGAUGACCUCCUUCCCUUCCUUGGUGGGUAGUCUGAGGCUCUGAAUGCUGAAGAAAUUACUUCAUAUGCGGAGAGAGUCAGCCCUUGAACCCAGGCCUCCUGAGUGGCUCUCGUGGCUGCCUCUGCAGCCUCUCACAACGCCUGGCUCAAGAACCUGCCCACCAAAGACCACCAAUAGGAGGGAGACCUGGAGUUCGAGUCUUUACAGACAAGGAAAGAAGACCCCAAAGAAGCAGGAAGGUGACAGGAGGUGUCCAGUGUCCCGGCCGCUCUCACCUGAUG
This is a non-coding RNA of Peromyscus maniculatus bairdii (prairie deer mouse), 924 nucleotides long. NCBI's taxonomy places the organism in Eukaryota, Metazoa, Chordata, Mammalia, Rodentia, Cricetidae. The record is from RefSeq and is a predicted model, not a curated record.